RNAcentral lists this ribosomal RNA (468 nucleotides) under uncultured bacterium. RNAcentral describes it as "partial 16S ribosomal RNA". It matches the Rfam family "Bacterial small subunit ribosomal RNA", at positions 28 to 507 of the family's 1533-position model. The record is from RNAcentral.
GACGAACGCUGGCGGCGUGCUUAACACAUGCAAGUCGAACGGAAAGGCCCUGCUUUUGUGGGGUGCUCGAGUGGCGAACGGGUGAGUAACACGUGAGUAACCUGCCCUUGACUUUGGGAUAACUUCAGGAAACUGGGGCUAAUACCGGAUAGGAGCUCCUGCUGCAUGGUGGGGGUUGGAAAGUUUCGGCGGUUGGGGAUGGACUCGCGGCGUAUCAGCUUGUUGGUGGGGUAGUGGCUUACCAAGGCUUUGACGGGUAGCCGGCCUGAGAGGGUGACCGGCCACAUUGGGACUGAGGUACGGCCCAGACUCCUACGGGAGGCAGCAGUGGGGAAUAUUGCACAAUGGGCGGAAGCCUGAUGCAGCAACGCCGCGUGCGGGAUGACGGCCUUCGGGUUGUAAACCGCUUUCGCCUGUGACGAAGCGUGAGUGACGGUAAUGGGUAAAGAAGCACCGGCUAACUACGUG